AACUCUGGUAUUGAUUGGUGCUUGCAUCAUGAUUUACAUUUGAGUGAGUGGCGAACUGGUGAGUAACACGUGGGAAACCUGCCCAGAAGCGGGGGAUAACACCUGGAAACAGAUGCUAAUACCGCAUAACAACUUGGACCGCAUGGUCCGAGUUUGAAAGAUGGCUUCGGCUAUCACUUUUGGAUGGUCCCGCGGCGUAUUAGCUAGAUGGUGGGGUAACGGCUCACCAUGGCAAUGAUACGUAGCCGACCUGAGAGGGUAAUCGGCCACAUUGGGACUGAGACACGGCCCAAACUCCUACGGGAGGCAGCAGUAGGGAAUCUUCCACAAUGGACGAAAGUCUGAUGGAGCAACGCCGCGUGAGUGAAGAAGGGUUUCGGCUCGUAAAACUCUGUUGUUAAAGAAGAACAUAUCUGAGAGUAACUGUUCAGGUAUUGACGGUAUUUAACCAGAAAGCCACGGCUAACUACGUGCCAGCAGCCGCGGUAAUACGUAGGUGGCAAGCGUUGUCCGGAUUUAUUGGGCGUAAAGCGAGCGCAGGCGGUUUUUUAAGUCUGAUGUGAAAGCCUUCGGCUCAACCGAAGAAGUGCAUCGGAAACUGGGAAACUUGAGUGCAGAAGAGGACAGUGGAACUCCAUGUGUAGCGGUGAAAUGCGUAGAUAUAUGGAAGAACACCAGUGGCGAAGGCGGCUGUCUGGUCUGUAACUGACGCUGAGGCUCGAAAGUAUGGGUAGCAAACAGGAUUAGAUACCCUGGUAGUCCAUACCGUAAACGAUGAAUGCUAAGUGUUGGAGGGUUUCCGCCCUUCAGUGCUGCAGCUAACGCAUUAAGCAUUCCGCCUGGGGAGUACGGCCGCAAGGCUGAAACUCAAAGGAAUUGACGGGGGCCCGCACAAGCGGUGGAGCAUGUGGUUUAAUUCGAAGCUACGCGAAGAACCUUACCAGGUCUUGACAUACUAUGCAAAUCUAAGAGAUUAGACGUUCCCUUCGGGGACAUGGAUACAGGUGGUGCAUGGUUGUCGUCAGCUCGUGUCGUGAGAUGUUGGGUUAAGUCCCGCAACGAGCGCAACCCUUAUUAUCAGUUGCCAGCAUUAAGUUGGGCACUCUGGUGAGACUGCCGGUGACAAACCGGAGGAAGGUGGGGAUGACGUCAAAUCAUCAUGCCCCUUAUGACCUGGGCUACACACGUGCUACAAUGGAUGGUACAACGAGUUGCGAACUCGCGAGAGUAAGCUAAUCUCUUAAAGCCAUUCUCAGUUCGGAUUGUAGGCUGCAACUCGCCUACAUGAAGUCGGAAUCGCUAGUAAUCGCGGAUCAGCAUGCCGCGGUGAAUACGUUCCCGGGCCUUGUACACACCGCCCGUCACGCC
This 1368-nucleotide ribosomal RNA is filed under the name Lactobacillus sp. RNAcentral describes it as "bacterial SSU rRNA". It matches the Rfam family "Bacterial small subunit ribosomal RNA", at positions 65 to 1403 of the family's 1533-position model. The record is from RNAcentral. Lineage: Bacteria; Bacillati; Bacillota; Bacilli; Lactobacillales; Lactobacillaceae.